GCUUGUCUCAAAGAUUAAGCCAUGCAUGUUCAAGUAUAGCAAGUGUACAGUGAAACUGCGAAUGGCUCAUUAAAUCAGUUAUAAUUUAUUUGAUAGUGAAAUUGUACAUGGAUAACCGUGGCAAUUCUAGGGCUAAUACAUGCGUCAAUGGUCGGUCGACCAGUAUUUAUUAGAUACAAAGCCAGCCGUCAGGAUCAGGUGAUUCAUGGUAACCGAACGAAUCGCACGGCACCAGCUGGCGAUGGACCAUUUCAGUUUCUGACCUAUCAGCUUCCGACGGUAGGAUAUGGGCCUACCGUGGCAAUGACGGGUAACGGAGAAUUAGGGUUCGAUUCCGGAGAGGGAGCCUGAGAAACGGCUACCACAUCUAAGGAAGGCAGCAGG
This 384-nucleotide ribosomal RNA is filed under the name uncultured fungus. Its description in RNAcentral is "partial small subunit ribosomal RNA". It matches the Rfam family "Eukaryotic small subunit ribosomal RNA", at positions 30 to 432 of the family's 1831-position model. The record is from RNAcentral. Lineage: Eukaryota; Fungi.